Molecule: ribosomal RNA, 483 nt
Filed under: Triticum aestivum (bread wheat)
Lineage: Eukaryota; Viridiplantae; Streptophyta; Magnoliopsida; Poales; Poaceae
Description: partial small subunit ribosomal RNA
Source: RNAcentral
GCACUUCUUCGCAAUCAGACAUGGACUCUUGUUCCUCCACAAUCACGGGUAAAUGUCAUUGAUUCCAAAUGGGUUUUCAAAGUGAAGAGGCAUUCUGAUGGGUCCAUUGAGCGCUAUAAGGCUCGUCUGGUUGCUCGUGGUUUUCGACAGUGUUUUGGACUUGACUAUGAAGACACCUUCAGUCCAGUGGUCAAGCCUACUACCAUCAGACUUCUUCUCUCUCUGGCUGUUACUCGAGGUUGGUUUCUUCGUCAGCUUGAUGUUCAAAAUGCUUUUCUUCAUGGUGUCUUGGUGGAGGAGGUUUACAUGCGCCAGCCUCCGGGUUUCUCUGAUCCGGAUCGCCCUGAUCAUCUCUGUCGUCUGUCCAAGGCAAUUUAUGGUCUGAAGCAGGCUCCUCGUGCUUGGCAUGCUCGUCUUGCAAUGGCUCUUCGUGCUCAUGGUUUUGCAUCAUCAACUGCUGACUCCUCAUUGUUUCUUCUUCAA